GACGAACGCUGGCGGCGUGCCUAAUACAUGCAAGUAGAACGCUGAAGGAGGAGCUUGCUUCUCUGGAUGAGUUGCGAACGGGUGAGUAACGCGUAGGUAACCUGCCUGGGAGCGGGGGAUAACUAUUGGAAACGAUAGCUAAUACCGCAUAAGAGUAGAUGUUGCAUGACAUUGGCUUAAAAGGUGCAAUGGCAUCACUACCAGAUGGACCUGCGUUGUGUUAGCUAGUUGGUGGGGUAACGGCUCACCAAGGCGACGAUACAUAGCCAACCUGAGAGGGGGAUCGGCCACACUGGGACUGAGACACGGCCCAUACUCCUACGGGAGGCAGCAGUAGUGAAUCUUCGGCAAUGGACGGAAGUCUGACCGAGCAACGCCGCGUGCGUGAAGAAGGUUUUCGGAUCGUAAAGCUCUGUUGUAAGAGAAGAACGCGUGUGAGAGUGGAAAGUUCACACUGUGACGGUAUCUUACCAGAAAGGGACGGCUAACUACGUG
Molecule: ribosomal RNA, 495 nt
Filed under: uncultured bacterium
Lineage: Bacteria
Description: partial 16S ribosomal RNA
Rfam family: Bacterial small subunit ribosomal RNA
Source: RNAcentral